UAAGGAAUAUUGGUCAAUGGGCGCAAGCCUGAACCAGCCAUGCCGCGUGCAGGAAGACGGCCCUCCGGGUUGUAAACUGCUUUUGUACGGGAAUAAACCUCGCUACGUGUAGUGAGCUGAAUGUACCGUAAGAAUAAGGAUCGGCUAACUCCGUGCCAGCAGCCGCGGUAAUACGGAGGAUCCAAGCGUUAUCCGGAUUUAUUGGGUUUAAAGGGUGCGUAGGCGGCCUGUUAAGUCAGGGGUGAAAGACGGUGGCUCAACCAUCGCAGUGCCCUUGAUACUGAUGGGCUUGAAUAAACUAGAGGUAGGCGGAAUGUGACAAGUAGCGGUGAAAUGCAUAGAUAUGUCACAGAACACCGAUUGCGAAGGCAGCUUACUAUGGUUUCAUUGACGCUGAGGCACGAAAGCGUGGGGAUCGAACAGG
This 424-nucleotide ribosomal RNA is filed under the name uncultured Pedobacter sp. Its description in RNAcentral is "bacterial SSU rRNA". It matches the Rfam family "Bacterial small subunit ribosomal RNA", at positions 355 to 776 of the family's 1533-position model. The record is from RNAcentral. Lineage: Bacteria; Pseudomonadati; Bacteroidota; Sphingobacteriia; Sphingobacteriales; Sphingobacteriaceae.